Molecule: ribosomal RNA, 492 nt
Filed under: uncultured bacterium
Lineage: Bacteria
Description: partial 16S ribosomal RNA
Rfam family: Bacterial small subunit ribosomal RNA
Source: RNAcentral
AGUGAACGCUGGCGGUAGGCCUAACACAUGCAAGUCGAACGGCAGCACAGUAAGAGCUUGCUCUUACGGGUGGCGAGUGGCGGACGGGUGAGGAAUACAUCGGAAUCUACUUUUUCGUGGGGGAUAACGUAGGGGAACUUACGCUAAUACCGCAUACGAACUACGGGUGAAAGCAAGGGAUCUUCGGACCUUGCGCGAUUGAAUGAGCCGAUGUCGGAUUAGCUAGUUGGCGGGGUAAAGGCCCACCAAGGCGACGAUCCGUAGCUGGUCUGAGAGGAUGAUCAGCCACACUGGAACUGAGACACGGUCCAGACUCCUACGGGAGGCAGCAGUGGGGAAUAUUGGACAAUGGGCGCAAGCCUGAUCCAGCCAUACCGCGUGGGUGAAGAAGGCCUUCGGGUUGUAAAGCCCUUUUGUUGGGGAAGAAAAGCAGCAGGUUAAUACCCCGCUGUUCUGACGGUACCCAAAGAAUAAGCACCGGCUAACUUCGUG